This 292-nucleotide ribosomal RNA is filed under the name uncultured bacterium. RNAcentral's name for it is "partial 16S ribosomal RNA". It matches the Rfam family "Bacterial small subunit ribosomal RNA", at positions 505 to 796 of the family's 1533-position model. The record is from RNAcentral.
GUGUCAGCAGCCGCGGUAAUACGAAGGACCCGAGCGUUAUCCGGAUUUAUUGGGUUUAAAGGGUGCGUAGGCGGAAUAGUAAGUCAGUGGUGAAAGCCUGUUGCUUAACAACAGAACUGCCAUCGAUACUGCUAAUCUUGAGUACAUAUGAUGUGGGCGGAAUGUGCCAUGUAGCGGUGAAAUGCUUAGAUAUGGCACAGAACACCGAUUGCGAAGGCAGCUCACAAAACUGUUACUGACGCUGAGGCACGAAAGCGUGGGGAUCAAACAGGAUUAGAUACCCUAGUAGUCC